This 253-nucleotide ribosomal RNA is filed under the name uncultured bacterium. RNAcentral's name for it is "partial 16S ribosomal RNA". It matches the Rfam family "Bacterial small subunit ribosomal RNA", at positions 524 to 776 of the family's 1533-position model. The record is from RNAcentral.
UACAGAGGGGGCAAGCGUUGUUCGGAAUUACUGGGCGUAAAGGGCGCGUAGGCGGCCUGCUAAGUCGAACGUGAAAUCCCCGGGCUCAACCCGGGAACUGCGUCCGAUACUGGCUGGCUUGAAUCCGGGAGAGGGAUGCGGAAUUCCAGGUGUAGCGGUGAAAUGCGUAGAUAUCUGGAGGAACACCGGUGGCGAAGGCGGCAUCCUGGACCGGUAUUGACGCUGAUGCGCGAAAGCCAGGGGAGCAAACGGG